Molecule: transfer RNA, 73 nt
Filed under: Camelus ferus (Wild Bactrian camel)
Lineage: Eukaryota; Metazoa; Chordata; Mammalia; Artiodactyla; Camelidae
Rfam family: tRNA
About the family: Transfer RNA (tRNA) molecules are approximately 80 nucleotides in length. Their secondary structure includes four short double-helical elements and three loops (D, anti-codon, and T loops). Further hydrogen bonds mediate the characteristic L-shaped molecular structure. tRNAs have two regions of fundamental functional importance: the anti-codon, which is responsible for specific mRNA codon recognition, and the 3' end, to which the tRNAs corresponding amino acid is attached (by aminoacyl-tRNA synthetases). tRNAs cope with the degeneracy of the genetic code in two manners: having more than one tRNA (with a specific anti-codon) for a particular amino acid; and 'wobble' base-pairing, i.e. permitting non-standard base-pairing at the 3rd anti-codon position.
Source: Rfam by way of RNAcentral
GAGGGUAUAGCUCAAGUGGUAGAGUGUGUGCUUAGCAUGCAUGAGGUCCUGGGUUCAACCCCCAGUGUCUCCG